GGCUAAAACAGUCAGGAGGUUGGCUUAGAAGCAGCCAUCCUUUAAAGAAAGCGUAAUAGCUCACUGAUCGAGUCGUCCUGCGCGGAAGAUGUAACGGGGCUAAGCCAGUCACCGAAGCUGCGGAUGCGUGCAUUCCUUUAAGUGCACCUUGCUUGUCGAUGCGCAGCAUCGACAAAGCGCCCAACAGAGAUCGUUGGGAGGCAAGUGAAGUGGAUUUAAAGGAGUGCACGCAUGGUAGGAGAGCGUUCUGUAAGCCUGUGAAGGUGUCUUGUAAAGGAUGCUGGAGGUAUCAGAAGUGCGAAUGCUGACAUGAGUAGCGAUAAAGGGGGUGAAAAGCCCCCUCGCCGUAAGCCCAA
Molecule: ribosomal RNA, 356 nt
Filed under: Cupriavidus basilensis
Lineage: Bacteria; Pseudomonadati; Pseudomonadota; Betaproteobacteria; Burkholderiales; Burkholderiaceae
Description: partial 23S ribosomal RNA
Rfam family: Bacterial large subunit ribosomal RNA
Source: RNAcentral